CUCUCAGCUUAUUUUGCGCAGCUUAGGUGGGAGACGUUGAACUUCUUUUUCCGGAAAGGAGGGAGUCAUCAGUGAGAUACCACUCUUGGUAAGCUAGAGCGCUCAUUUCUAACCGUUAUCCGGUAGAAAGACAGUUUCAGGCGGGCAGUUUGACUGGGGCAGUCACCUCCCAAAAGGUAAUGGAGGUGUACAAAGGUUCGCUCAGGCUGGACGGAAAUCAGCCAUAGAGUGUAAAAGCAUAAGCGAGCUUGACUGCGAGACUGACAUGUCAAGCAGAGACGAAAGUCGGUUUUAGUGAUCCGACGGUGCUGAGUGGAAAGGCCGUCGCUCAACGGAUAAAAGUUACUCUAGGGAUAACA
This 359-nucleotide ribosomal RNA is filed under the name uncultured eukaryote. RNAcentral's name for it is "LSU rRNA". It matches the Rfam family "Bacterial large subunit ribosomal RNA", at positions 2120 to 2479 of the family's 2925-position model. The record is from RNAcentral.